Molecule: ribosomal RNA, 254 nt
Filed under: uncultured bacterium
Lineage: Bacteria
Description: partial 16S ribosomal RNA
Rfam family: Bacterial small subunit ribosomal RNA
Source: RNAcentral
UACGGGGGGGGGCAAGCGUUGUUCGGAAUUACUGGGCGUAAAGGGCUCGUAGGCGGCCAACUAAGUCGGACGUGAAAUCCCCAGGCUCAACCUGGGAACUGCGUCCGAUACUGGAUGGCUUGAAUUCGGGAGAGGGAUGCAGAAUUCCAGGUGUAGCGGUGAAAUGCGUAGAUAUCUGGAGGAAUACCGGUGGCGAAGGCGGCAUCCUGGACCGACAUUGACGCUGAGGAGCGAAAGCUAGGGGAGCAAACGGG